This 228-nucleotide ribosomal RNA is filed under the name Gigaspora gigantea. Lineage: Eukaryota; Fungi; Glomeromycota; Glomeromycetes; Diversisporales; Gigasporaceae. The record is from RNAcentral.
CAGUCAUGCCGGUGAGAAAUCAGCUUACAGGCUACUGUGAGUGCACUUUUUCGCAAGGCAGGUUAACAUCGGUUUUUGUUGCGUUAUAAUGAUUGUAGGAAGGUGGCUCCUUCGGGAGUGUUAUAGCCUACUUUAGAUGGCGCGACGAGGACUGAGGAUUGCAGCGAAUGCCUUUGGCUACGGAUCUGUUCUCUGUCGAUCUUCAAUUGAUCUUCAGCUUGCUGAUGA